CAGUUCGGAUUGCAGUCUGCAACUCGAGUGCAUGAAGCUGGAAUCGCUAGUAAUCGCGGAUCAGAAUGCCGCGGUGAAUACGUUCCCGGGUCUUGUACACACCGCCCGUCACACCAUGGGAGUUGGAAGCACCCGAAGUCGAUGACCUAACCGCGAGGGAGGAGUCGCCGAAGGUGAAGCCAGUGACUGGGGUGAAGUCGUAACAAGGUAAC
This 212-nucleotide ribosomal RNA is filed under the name uncultured bacterium. RNAcentral describes it as "partial 16S ribosomal RNA". It matches the Rfam family "Bacterial small subunit ribosomal RNA", at positions 1289 to 1500 of the family's 1533-position model. The record is from RNAcentral.